CCAAUCCUUAAAGUCAUCCUCAGUUCGGACUGGGGUCUGCAACCCGACCCCACGAAGCUGGAUUCGCUAGUAAUCGCGCAUCAGCCAUGGCGCGGCGAAUACGUUCCCGGGCCUUGUACACACCGCCCGUCAAGCCAUGAAAGCCGGGGGCGCCUGAAGUCCGUGACCGCGAGGGUCGGCCUAGGGUGAAACCGGUGAUUGGGGCUAAGUCGUAACAAGGUAAC
RNAcentral lists this ribosomal RNA (224 nucleotides) under uncultured bacterium. Its description in RNAcentral is "partial 16S ribosomal RNA". It matches the Rfam family "Bacterial small subunit ribosomal RNA", at positions 1268 to 1500 of the family's 1533-position model. The record is from RNAcentral.